RNAcentral lists this non-coding RNA (30 nucleotides) under Homo sapiens (human). The record is from RNAcentral. Lineage: Eukaryota; Metazoa; Chordata; Mammalia; Primates; Hominidae.
GACAAUGAGAUGUUGCUGUCCCGGGAGUGU